CCUACGGGAGGCAGCAGUGAGGAAUAUUGGUCAAUGGACGAGAGCCUGAACCAGCCAAGUAGCGUGAGGGAAGACGGUCCUAUGGAUUGUAAACCUCUUUUAUAUGGGAAUAAAACACGGUACGUAUACCCUUACGUAUGUACCAGAUGAAUAAGGAUCGGCUAACUCCGUGCCAGCAGCCGCGGUAAUACGGAGGAUCCGAGCGUUAUCCGGAUUUAUUGGGUUUAACGGGAGCGUAGGUGGAUGGUUAAGUCAGUGGUGAAAGUUUGCGGCUCAACCGUAAUAUUGCAGUUGAAACUGGCAGUCUUGAGUGCAGUAGAGGUAGGCGGAAUUCGUGGUGUAGCGGUGAAAUGCUUAGAUAUCACGAAGAACUCCGAUUGCGAAGGCAGCUCACUGGACUGCAACUGACGCUGAUGCUCGAAAGUGUGGGUAUCAAACAGGAUUAGAUACCCGUGUAGUC
This 460-nucleotide ribosomal RNA is filed under the name uncultured bacterium. RNAcentral's name for it is "partial 16S ribosomal RNA". It matches the Rfam family "Bacterial small subunit ribosomal RNA", at positions 338 to 795 of the family's 1533-position model. The record is from RNAcentral.